RNAcentral lists this ribosomal RNA (465 nucleotides) under Vreelandella stevensii. RNAcentral describes it as "partial 16S ribosomal RNA". It matches the Rfam family "Bacterial small subunit ribosomal RNA", at positions 338 to 795 of the family's 1533-position model. Lineage: Bacteria; Pseudomonadati; Pseudomonadota; Gammaproteobacteria; Oceanospirillales; Halomonadaceae. The record is from RNAcentral.
CCUACGGGGGGCAGCAGUGGGGAAUAUUGGACAAUGGGGGGAACCCUGAUCCAGCCAUGCCGCGUGUGUGAAGAAGGCCCUCGGGUUGUAAAGCACUUUCAGUGAGGAAGAACGCCUGGUGGUUAAUACCCAUCAGGAAAGACAUCACUCACAGAAGAAGCACCGGCUAACUCCGUGCCAGCAGCCGCGGUAAUACGGAGGGUGCGAGCGUUAAUCGGAAUUACUGGGCGUAAAGCGCGCGUAGGUGGCUUGAUAAGCCGGUUGUGAAAGCCCCGGGCUCAACCUGGGAACGGCAUCCGGAACUGUCAAGCUAGAGUGCAGGAGAGGAAGGUAGAAUUCCCGGUGUAGCGGUGAAAUGCGUAGAGAUCGGGAGGAAUACCAGUAGCGAAGGCGGCCUUCUGGACUGACACUGACACUGAGGUGCGAAAGCGUGGGUAGCAAACAGGAUUAGAUACCCCUGUAGUC